This 562-nucleotide unclassified non-coding RNA is filed under the name Pilocosta nana. RNAcentral's name for it is "partial may contain 26S ribosomal RNA, external transcribed spacer, 18S ribosomal RNA". The record is from RNAcentral. Lineage: Eukaryota; Viridiplantae; Streptophyta; Magnoliopsida; Myrtales; Melastomataceae.
CCUCCCGGUCGCCUCUCCCUCUGGAUGGGGCGUCGGGUGGUUGUUCCGUGCCUCGGGCAGCGCUGGGACGACGCAUGAGUGGCAAUCAGGACAUGUUCCCGUUGCAGGCUCCGUGCCUCGCGCAUSGAACUGCUCUGGACUGUCCGCUCCAUUUGGUCUCUCGCACCGUCGCUCCUGCGGCUGGUUGCGAUUGGUUGCUUGGUUCCUGUGCUUGAUACCGGAUCUCGGUACUCGGAUUUGUCGUUAUCCGCGUUUUGGRRCCCUUUUCCUCCUCCGCCUACCGGGCGUUGGUGGUUAUGGUGCGGGCAUCGGCGCUUUCCGUCCGUUCGGUCGUAGACCUCUGGUCGCUUCCGGUCGUGUCGGCGCGUAGAUGGCUUGCGUGUUCUCUUGGUUACGGAGAUAUCUAAAGUUGUCGCACGGUCCUCCUUUGGCCGUUGCGAUCUCGACGUGUCGAAGCUUCUUUGCUUCCGCUCGGGUGACCAUCGUGCUUCCCUUUGAGCUCGCGGUGACUCACGUCUCCGCGUUCGUCCUUGGGAGGCAUCGAGGUGUACAACGGAAUGCU